RNAcentral lists this ribosomal RNA (262 nucleotides) under uncultured bacterium. Its description in RNAcentral is "partial 16S ribosomal RNA". It matches the Rfam family "Bacterial small subunit ribosomal RNA", at positions 355 to 641 of the family's 1533-position model. The record is from RNAcentral.
UGGGGAAUCUUAGACAAUGGGCGCAAGCCUGAUCUAGCCAUGCCGCGUGAGCGAUGAAGGCCUUAGGGUUGUAAAGCUCUUUCAGUGGGGAAGCUGUACCCACAGAAGAAGCCCCGGCUAACUCCGUGCCAGCAGCCGCGGUAAUACGGAGGGGGCUAGCGUUGUUCGGAAUUACUGGGCGUAAAGCGCACGUAGGCGGACGGAGAAGUCAGAGGUGAAAUCCCAGGGCUCAACCUUGGAACUGCCUUUGAAACUUUCUGUC